Molecule: transfer RNA, 74 nt
Filed under: Xylanibacter brevis
Lineage: Bacteria; Pseudomonadati; Bacteroidota; Bacteroidia; Bacteroidales; Prevotellaceae
Also listed under: 6 other names
Description: tRNA-Ala
Rfam family: tRNA
About the family: Transfer RNA (tRNA) molecules are approximately 80 nucleotides in length. Their secondary structure includes four short double-helical elements and three loops (D, anti-codon, and T loops).
Source: RNAcentral
GGGGGAUUAGCUCAGUUGGCUAGAGCGUUUGCAUGGCAUGCAAGAGGUCAUCGGUUCGACCCCGAUAUUCUCCA